Parus major (Great Tit) is the source of this 2061-nucleotide RNA transcript. It is a transcript of the gene named single-pass membrane protein with coiled-coil domains 4, with no coding region annotated. The transcript has 8 exons. NCBI's taxonomy places the organism in Eukaryota, Metazoa, Chordata, Aves, Passeriformes, Paridae. The record is from RefSeq and is a predicted model, not a curated record.
AGGCGCUGGGAAGGGGACGGCCGGGAGCGCCGUGACGGGGCACGGGGCGAGCCCGCGGUGUCCCAGGAGAGCCGCGGGGCAGCGGGAUCGGCUCCCGGGCGGGACAGCUUCCUGCGGACUUGGGCACCGGGCGCUCCGUCCCGCGGCCGGGGCGCCGCGGAUCAGCCCGGAAAGUUUGGGAAGGCGGAGGGCGGGCAGGGAGCUGGGAGCCGGCCGGGAUCGGCGGGAGGGAGCCGCCGCCGGGCCACGCUCCCGGCACUGCGUGUCAGUCCCCGGGAAGCUCCGCUGAGAGGCUAGCGAGGAAAAGAACUGCUCCAAAGACUCGCAGAAGACUUUGGGAGCAUGCAUCAGCCCCAGUGAAACUGAGAGAAGCCCAUUAAGAAAUCCGAUUAGCUGUCUGCUCUCUAGAUGUUCGUGUCCGUGCGGAGACCUGGCUGAAUGAAACCUGUGGAGUACUGCAAUAGCAAUGGAGAUGAAUUGCCACAUGGGAACUGAACUUUUCAUCAGCUCUUGCCACAUAAAUAUAGUCCUGAAUAUUUUGAAGGUUUAUGAACAAUUUUGAUCUGUUUUUAGCAUCCUCAGCUGAUUGAAACUUCAGCUUGCCCUCAAGGAAAGUGAGGUGAUACCUGUGGUACAGCAUGAUGGAUAAGAGUGAAAUUGUCUCACUUUGAAAAGAAAAGGUGUCUUUUUCCCUGUCGACUUGGUGUGAAAAAGCUUGCAAAGGCUUCCAGCAGCACUGCAUCCGAGACAGGCAUCAGCAGAAGGACUGAGGUCAUCUUUAAUUCGAUACCAGGAUGUCCACAGCCCAGGGUGCAGCCAUUAAUAUUCUGUCUGUAAGCUGUGGAAGACAGACUCUGAAGAGGUGCCUAAGGACAUGAUUCCUCAGCCCCUCUUGAAAGCUGACAAGACCUAAUUCUGAAGGAAACGUUCAUGUUUGUGAAAUGGACUCGUUCAGAAUUUUUGCAGCCUUUUUGGAUAAGGCCAUGUUUCUUGCACAGCCAGCCACUCAACAGAAAAGAAUUCUUCAGCCUCUUGUUUCAAAAGACCUUGGACAAUCUUCUGCUGUUUCACUCCCUUUGGUCCCUCACUUCAGCAAUAAAAAGAUCCAAAGAGGAGGAUGAGGCAGCUUAGAGGAAAACCUAAAAAAGAGACCUCCAAAGAUAAAAAGGAGAGAAAACAGGCAAUGCAAGAGGCCCGGCAACAAAUCACCACCGUGGUGCUUCCCACACUGGCUGUCGUAGUACUGCUGAUUGUUGUGUUUGUUUAUGUAGCGACUCGUCCAAAUACAACUGAAUGAUGCAGCUUUUCAGACUCCCUAGCUUUGGGAUAUUAAUUUUACCAAGAGCCAAAAGGAACACUCUGCCACUCUUUUAGUACUUUGCAAAGGAUCUUGCUGGUAUUUUCAGUCUUUCUCUUGGCUACAGUCCCACAGAUUCUCUUUAGGAAUGUAACAUAAAACGUAUUAGUGAAUGUGCCAGUACGUUUUAUGGUCGAGUUAUGUGCCUUUCAGACUUUUAAAAAUGGUGUUUUUCUUAAAGCUGUUUGAAGCUCUAUAUUGUAAAAGGAAAUCGUGUUCUGCUAUAAAUUUGUAAAAAAUCAGCUUUCAGCUUUUAUCACUGUUAUGGAUAAUGUUGCUCCCAUGAGCUCUUGUAUGUCUAUUUCAGAACUUCCAAAGAAGUACAUUUCUUCUUUGUACUUAAUGUCAUAUGAAGUGCUUUGAUUCAGAAAGGAUAUAUUUAUUUUUUGAAUAAAAGAAGUCUUACUUGGAAUCUUCAAAUUAUUUUGCAAAAAAAAAUGUGACAUUGUGAAAGCCUACAUUGUGUAAUAAUUUUUUCAUCAACCACUAUAUAGUUCACUCAAAAAGAAUUUCUUUUUGGUGCGGGAUGCCAACAUGCAAAGUGAAUACUUCAGGAUGGGAUCUUGCAGAAUUUGGACAGGGAGAUUCUGCCACAUUAUGGUGAAGUAACUAGUAACAAACUACAUAAACGCAGAUAGUUUCUUAUCUGAAUGUUCAAUAUUUGAAACUGUGUAAGUGGCAAUAAAAAGGUGGUUUGGCAUACA